UACGUAGGGUGCAAGCGUUGUCCGGAAUUAUUGGGCGUAAAGAGCUCGUAGGCGGUUUGUCGCGUCGAAUGUGAAAUCCCGGGGCUCAACCCCGGGUCUGCAUUCGAUACGGGCAGACUAGAGUUCGGUAGGGGAGUCUGGAAUUCCUGGUGUAGCGGUGAAAUGCGCAGAUAUCAGGAGGAAUACCGAUGGCGAAGGCAGGUCUCUGGGCUAACACUGACGCUCAUGCACGAAAGCGUGGGGAGCAAACAGG
This 253-nucleotide ribosomal RNA is filed under the name uncultured bacterium. RNAcentral describes it as "partial 16S ribosomal RNA". It matches the Rfam family "Bacterial small subunit ribosomal RNA", at positions 524 to 776 of the family's 1533-position model. The record is from RNAcentral.